Small nucleolar RNA from Gymnodraco acuticeps, 102 nucleotides. NCBI's taxonomy places the organism in Eukaryota, Metazoa, Chordata, Actinopteri, Perciformes, Bathydraconidae. The record is from RefSeq and is a predicted model, not a curated record.
CUCCAAUGAUGAUCUAGCCAUGCUAAUACUGAUGCACCUGCCUGGGUGUGAUGAGUGCGACUUGCCUUCUCAUGCUGAUGGUUUCAGUGUGUGCUGAGGAGA